CAAGCAGCGGAGCGUGUGGUUUAAUUUCGAUGUUACACGAAGAACUUACCAGGGUUUGACAUGCAAGUGGUAGGAAGCCGAAAGGUGACCGACCCUUCGGGGAGCUUGCACAGGUGCUGCAUGGCUGUCGUCAGCUCGUGUCGUGAGAUGUUCGGUUAAGUCCGCUAACGAGCGCAACCCUCGCUGUGUGUUAUAUGUGUCACACGGGACUGCCGGUCUUAAGCCGGAGGAAGUGGGGAUGAUGUCAAGUCAGCAUGGCCUUUAUAUCCUGGGCUACACACACGCUACAAUGGCCAACACAAUAGGUUGCUAAGCCGCGAGGUGGAGCCAAUCCCAUAAAGCCAGUCGUAGUCCGGAUCGUAGUCUGCAACUCGACUACGUGAAGUCGGAAUCGCUAGUAAUCGUGGAUCAGAAUGUCACGGUGAAUACGUUCCCGGGUCUU
Molecule: ribosomal RNA, 442 nt
Filed under: uncultured Anaerolineaceae bacterium
Lineage: Bacteria; Bacillati; Chloroflexota; Anaerolineae; Anaerolineales; Anaerolineaceae
Description: bacterial SSU rRNA
Rfam family: Bacterial small subunit ribosomal RNA
Source: RNAcentral